This 440-nucleotide ribosomal RNA is filed under the name uncultured bacterium. Its description in RNAcentral is "partial 16S ribosomal RNA". It matches the Rfam family "Bacterial small subunit ribosomal RNA", at positions 338 to 795 of the family's 1533-position model. The record is from RNAcentral.
CCUACGGGUGACAGCAGUAGGGAAUAUUGCUCAAUGGGGGAAACCCUGAAGCAGCAACGCCGCGUGAAGGAUGAAGGUUUUCGGUUUGUAAACCCCUUUUGUUAGAGAAGAAAAUGACGGUAUCUAACGAAUAAGCACCGGCUAACUACGUGCCAGCAGCCGCGGUAAUACGGAGGGUGCAAGCGUUACUCGGAUUGACUGGGCGUAAAGAGCGCGUAGGCGGGAUAGCAAGUCAGAUGUGAAAUGCCAUGGCUUAACCAUAGAACUGCAUUUGAAACUGUUAUGCUAGAGUACGGGAGAGGUAGGUGGAAUUCUUGGUGUAGGGGUGAAAUGCGUAGAGAUGAGGAGGAAUACGGAUUGCGAAGGCGACCUGCUAGAACAUAACUGACGUUGAUGCUCGAAAGCGUGGGGAGCAAACAGGAUUAGAUACCCCAGUAGUC